RNAcentral lists this ribosomal RNA (586 nucleotides) under Pseudo-nitzschia fraudulenta. RNAcentral's name for it is "partial Bacterial large subunit ribosomal RNA". It matches the Rfam family "Bacterial large subunit ribosomal RNA", at positions 1909 to 2494 of the family's 2925-position model. The record is from RNAcentral. Lineage: Eukaryota; Bacillariophyta; Bacillariophyceae; Bacillariales; Bacillariaceae.
UGAUCGAAGCCCCGGUAAACGGCGGCCGUAACAAUAACGGUCCUAAGGUAGCGAAAUUCCUUGUCGGGUAAGUUCCGACCUGCACGAAUGGUGUAACCAUGGCCACGCUGUCUCCACCCGAGACUCAGUGAAAUCGAAAUCGCAGUGAAGAUGCUGUGUACCCGCGGCUAGACGGAAAGACCCCGUGAACCUUUACUAUAGCUUCACAGUGGACUCUGAUAUUACUUGUGUAGGAUAGCUGGGAGGCUUUGAAACCUGGGCGCCAGCUCAGGUGGAGCCAAUCUUGAAAUACCAGCCUGGUACUAUUGGGGUUCUAACUCUGGACCAUUAUCUGGUUCGAGGACAUUGUGUGGUGGGUAGUUUGACUGGGGCGGUCUCCUCCCAAAGUGUAACGGAGGAGCACGAAGGUGCGCUAAUCACGGUCGGAAAUCGUGAGGUUAGUGUAAUGGCACAAGCGCGCUUAACUGCGAGACUGACAAGUCGAGCAGGUACGAAAGUAGGUCAUAGUGAUCCGGUGGUUCUGUAUGGAAGGGCCAUCGCUCAACGGAUAAAAGGUACUCCGGGGAUAACAGGCUGAUACCGCCCA